GAUCAUGGCUCAGGAUGAACGCUAGCUACAGGCUUAACACAUGCAAGUCGAGGGGAAACGACAUCGAAAGCUUGCUUUUGAUGGGCGUCGACCGGCGCACGGGUGAGUAACGCGUAUCCAACCUGCCCACCACUUGGGGAUAACCUUGCGAAAGUAAGACUAAUACCCAAUGAUAUCCCACGAAGGCAUCCGAAUGGGAUUAAAGAUUUAUCGGUGAUGGAUGGGGAUGCGUCUGAUUAGCUUGUUGGCGGGGUAACGGCCCACCAAGGCAACGAUCAGUAGGGGUUCUGAGAGGAAGGUCCCCCACAUUGGAACUGAGACACGGUCCAAACUCCUACGGGAGGCAGCAGUGAGGAAUAUUGGUCAAUGGGCGAGAGCCUGAACCAGCCAAGUAGCGUGCAGGAUGACGGCCCUAUGGGUUGUAAACUGCUUUUAUAAGGGAAUAAAGUGAGUCUCGUGAGACUUUUUGCAUGUACCUUAUGAAUAAGGACCGGCUAAUUCCGUG
Molecule: ribosomal RNA, 505 nt
Filed under: uncultured bacterium
Lineage: Bacteria
Description: bacterial SSU rRNA
Rfam family: Bacterial small subunit ribosomal RNA
Source: RNAcentral